GCCCAGUUAGCCUAGUUGGUAGGGUAUUAGAUCCUUAAUCUCAGGGUCGUGAGUUCAAGCCCCACAUUGGGCU
Sciurus carolinensis (gray squirrel) is the source of this 73-nucleotide non-coding RNA. The record is from the annotation of a RefSeq genome assembly. Lineage: Eukaryota; Metazoa; Chordata; Mammalia; Rodentia; Sciuridae.